This 57-nucleotide transfer RNA is filed under the name Haemaphysalis humerosa. RNAcentral's name for it is "tRNA-Ser". Lineage: Eukaryota; Metazoa; Arthropoda; Arachnida; Ixodida; Ixodidae. The record is from RNAcentral.
AUUUUUUUUUUAAAAGAUUAACAAAUUAGGCUUCUAACCUAAAAUUAAUGAAAAUUU